Gadus macrocephalus (Pacific cod) is the source of this 918-nucleotide long non-coding RNA. RefSeq lists it as uncharacterized. The transcript has 2 exons. NCBI's taxonomy places the organism in Eukaryota, Metazoa, Chordata, Actinopteri, Gadiformes, Gadidae. The record is from RefSeq and is a predicted model, not a curated record.
GGGGUUGACACUAAGGUUUCAAAAGCACUUGCCCAUCGGGCAAGUACAGGUCAGGUUCAACUUGCCCGAAUGUAAUGUUCACUUGCCCAAAUUAUAAUCAGAAUCAAAAAUCAUGUUAGCUUCCACACAUGUUGUGUUUAAAAAAUAACAAACUUCUCUUUGUUUACUUAUUUAUCGAGCGGUCACAUCGUGCCAUGAAGUGAUUUCAGUCCACCGUUCCAACCUAUUAAAGCUAUCGCCAAGUUAUAUGUAGACCUGCAUGAUUUUAUGCAAAAUUACAUAACUAAAUGUCAGAGGUAGUAGCAAAGAUAUGUCUUUUUAACUUUCAAGUUUCUUGUAGCUCUAACUGAAUAAUCACAAUCGCGUUUCUAGUAGGGUUGUCAGUCACGAUACUGGAUUUUCUAACUUCAACACUAUUCCUGGAAAAAGAUCGAUAUUCUAUACCAUUUUUGAUUUUUUUCAGGAAAGAACAUACCCAAAGUAAAUAGAUUAUAUCUCCACAACUGCAAGAUCGAUAAUGUCAUCUUUGGGCCAAAAAGAAAGAUUGUUGUGCAAGUGAAAUAUUCAAUGGGGAUAAUACUUGGUUAAAGUGAAUAAAGCCAUGGAACACAGCAUAAGUGGAAGAUAACAUUUCCACCUGAAAUAAUUAUCAGUAUCAGAUGGUCGUUAUCAGUUGGGAGUGCUGUCUUACUAUGAGACACAAAUAAGGUAGAUAUCUUACAAUUUAGACACUUGACACUAGGGAUCGACCGAUAUAUCGGUCGGCCGAUAUUAUCGGCCGAUAUUCGCGUUUUUUUACGUGUAUCGGUAUCGGCCGAUACGCGGCUGAUUUUCGCCGAUUUUUUAUUUUAUUUUUUUUUUUACUUGUUCUACCUCACCUGUUUUUAAUAUUUGUUAAAUAUUGUUCAUCUACUUGUU